This 492-nucleotide ribosomal RNA is filed under the name uncultured bacterium. Its description in RNAcentral is "partial 16S ribosomal RNA". It matches the Rfam family "Bacterial small subunit ribosomal RNA", at positions 29 to 507 of the family's 1533-position model. The record is from RNAcentral.
AGUGAACGCUGGCGGCAGGCCUAACACAUGCAAGUCGAACGGCAGCACAGUAAGAGCUUGCUCUUACGGGUGGCGAGUGGCGGACGGGUGAGGAAUAUAUCGGAAUCUACUUUUUCGGGGGGGAUAACGUAGGGAAACUUACGCUAAUACAGCAUAUGACCUACGGGUGAAAGCAGGGGAUCUUCGGACCUUGCGCGAUUGAAUGAGCCGAUGUCGGAUUAGCUAGUUGGCGGGGUAAAGGCCCACCAAGGCGACGAUCCGUAGCUGGUCUGAGAGGAUGAUCAGCCACACUGGAACUGAGACACGGUCCAGACUCCUACGGGAGGCAGCAGUGGGGAAUAUUGGACAAUGGGCGCAAGCCUGAUACAGCCAUACCGCGUGGGUGAAGAAGGCCUUCGGGUUGUAAAGCCCUUUUGUUGGGGAAGAACAGCAGCAGGUUAAUACCCCGCUGUUCUGACGGUACCCAAAGAAUAAGCACCGGCUAACUUCGUG